Molecule: long non-coding RNA, 291 nt
Organism: Malaclemys terrapin pileata
Lineage: Eukaryota; Metazoa; Chordata; Testudines; Emydidae
Exons: 2
Source: RefSeq, a predicted model, not a curated record
CGGCUCUUCAACGGGGCCUGGGCAGCUGCCGGGAAGGGAACAGCGUCAGGAUCUCUGCCGGGGUGACUGUGGGGAUCCUAGCCAGGCAUUGACAACACUUGAAGAACAAAGGAUGCAGCACUGGACUGGAGAGGGAUCCUGACUGAAAGAUUCAGCCAGGAAGACUGUUGGAACUUGUGGUGCGAGAGACCUUUGAAUUCACUUCGGGAAUGUCUACACUGGCAAGUUUCUGCACAAGUUAUUUGCAGUUAUUUUUAUGAAAGUGCUGGAAUUAAACUGCGAGUGCCUGUC